AGAGUAUUUAAUGCUCUCUGCCUGCCUCAGUCCCAGCCCAGGCUGACGGAUCCACCUCACUUUGUGUCUUCUGCUGCUCUUAAGAGACUAAUGAGGAAAUUUUCCUGUGACUGCUUCACUUGUGCGCUCCCUCUCUGCAUUGAGCAGCUAAUGAUGGAGAUGUCUCAAGCAGAGCUGGGUGCUUCCUUUCGCCAAACUGCAUCGGUCACUACCUCUCCAUAAUAAAACACCUUCAAGGUGAAUUUAUUUAAGAAUAUUUAACCCACAGCAAAAGCAGCAAACCCUGCAAGAAACAGCUUUUACAUCUCCCGUUGGAAUUUGUGCUCAGGAAGGUUUCUGAUGGGUUUUUUUUGGGGGGGGAGGGGCUAAAAAGGGCCCUUUUCAAGCCAGCUCUCUCAAGCCUCCAUCUCCUAAAGCUCCAUCUCAUGUGAGUCCACAGAAACGAGCCCUUCAUCUCCCCUGUGAGUUCUGCCUUCCUGGUUUCCAGCAGCACGUUCAGAGCAGAAGCAAAGAACUUCCACUUCUCCUCGGACUCAGACUUGAAACUCCAUCUGGAACCUGCAAAGUGACAAAGCUUUUCUACCCAAAGAGACCUGGAGAGCAGCUCCGUUCUGGUGGAAGUUGCACUCCAGGUGAAAGCUGCUGCUCUGCUGCCUCAGAUCUGUGUGUGAUCAACAGAACACAUUGAGUCCCUGACAGCAAUCUAACCUUACUUCCAGCCACCCAAGCAGUUUGUCUUUCACAGAAUAGUGUUUCUUCCCCCCCCCGAAAAGCAGUUUUAUUUUGGCUGCCCUAUCAAACUGCUGCCCCUGAUGUCAGUGCUGAACUUCUCAGGUAGUUCCCAGCUGGAACACUGCUGCUCAGACAGAUUGGAUGGGAGAAGUGGAAAGACAAAGAGCCUGCAUGCAGUAUGGUUUGGCUGCGGUUGGACUUGAUGAUCUUUAAGGUCUUUUCCAACCUAAGCAAUUCUAUGAUUCUAUGCCCUGGAUGUUAAGGGUAAAAACAGAGACAGGGAGAGAAAGAGAGGAACUCUCCCAGGUAAGGACAGCAAUAGGAUGAGAGGUGAUGACCUUAAGUCAUUCCAGAGGAGGUUCAGGUUGGAUAGAAGGAAGCAUUUAUUUGCAGAAACAGUGGCAAUGCAGUGGCUCAGCUGCCCAGGGGGUGGUGGAGUCACCAUCCCUGGAGGUGUUCAAGAUCACGGAGAUGUGGCACUGAGGGAUGUGGUUAUGGGCAUGGUGGGAUGGGUUGGUGUCCUACUUGGUGACCUUAGAGGUCCUUUCCAACCUCAUUGACUCCGUGAUUUGACAAAACACAACAGAGGCACAGGCAGAAGACAUCGCAACACCACCAGGUUUCUGUGGAAGGCACAGCCAGUGAUACGUUUUCCAGUCCGCCAGCGAUGUGUCUGCUUUAUGGCCAGUGAGAUGAUGGGACAGAGGGAUGAGGCAUUAAUAGGAAGGAGACAGGAGCAAGAGACUGAGCAAAAUGCAGAAAUGACUUGAAAACCUAAGGGGAGGGAAGCCAGCGAGAGACAUUUCUGUCUGUUGAACACGAUCGAUGCCUGCUGACAUCAAUCACUGCAAGCUGGGUGCACUGAUGGAUGUUUCCUCCCUGUCUGCAGCGAAGACAAAUGGGUGUGGGCAGGGAACGCCUCGGCCACUGCAUGGAACCCAAGGGAAGGCAGUCCAGGCUGGGGAAGGCACAGAGCAGCCACUCUCAGGUGGCCCAGAGGACUGAGACAUCAUUGAUUAGAUACGUUCUUAAUUAAUUUUUUGAAAUUGCUACAGAUCAUUGCUGGAAGAAGAUGAUUUGUCAAAAGCGGUCCCUUUUGCGGGAACUCAGCGGCUGCAGAGAAACCUCCUGGUAGGUUCCUGAGCUCCGGGAAGGGCUCUGAUGGAAAAGGCAAGGAUCCAGGCUCCUGCAGAGCCCCAUCCUGCCAUGCCCCCCCAGCCCUAUGGGGGCAACAGGCUGAAAAGCUGUGUUUUUUUUCCAUGAGAACUCCCAUAGCAAAAGCACAGAGUGUAUCCGGGAACAAAGCAUCUGAAUCCGACUGAUUCGUUUUGCAUUGAAUAACACAUUACCAUCCGUUCGAACCAAAAGAGGGGAAAUUUAGACUAGGUAUAAGGAAAAGGUUUUUCGUGAUAGGAGUGAUGUGGCAUCGGCACAGGUUGCAGAGAGGUGGUGGGUGCCCCAUCCAUGGAGACACCUCAGGUCAGGCUGGACCGGGCUCUGAGCACCCGAUGGAACUGCAGAAGCCCCUGUUCAUUGCAGAAGAGUUGGACCAGAUGGCUGUGAAAUGUCCCUUCUAACUCAAACCAUUCUGUGUUUCUAUGAUUCAAUGAUCAAGUGCAAGUGAGCACUUCUGCUUGCUUAUGCAAAAUAAAUACACAAAACAAGAACUUUCUCAGAUGGAAAAGCAUUUAAAAAGCUCCAGAGCCCUUGGUGUUCUUUGUUUUGUACAAAACAAGAAAAAGCUCUCCUUCCCUCCUUCCUUCAUCCACACCCUUUGAUUUGUCUGAGCUUACAGUGACAGCUGUGGAAUCCCCCCAGAGGUGUCGGUACAUCAGAGGAACCAGGACCAGGAGUUAAAGACAUUUCUCUUGCUUUAUGGCUGCUGUGGGAUCCUGGUCCAAAUCCUCUUUCUUCCAGGCCACGUGUAUUCUCAGUACAACAGUUCCAGAGACUCAAAUGCUGCAGUUUCCCUAUGCUGGCAGAGCACAGAGCUGAGAACUGGGCUUGUAGUCCUCUCCAUCACAGCGCAUUGCCCAGCCAGACGUCCCCAGGCCUCCUGAACCACAUCACUGCUGCGGGGCCCACCCAAGGAUGGCUGACAUUUAAACAUUCACUCUCAGACCAAAAUUGCCCGUUCCUCCCCAGAACAAACCUGCAAUUCUUUUCAGAGCCGAGGCCACAAAGUUCAGGUGUUUCAAUUCAAAAGUGAGGACAAAAUUGUUUACUCUGCGCUGGAGAAGCAGGGCACAGCAGAAGCAGCUCUGAUGACAGCCUGCCCCUUCUGCAACAGAGGUUAUAACUUGUUUUUAAUCACUGUUUGCUCUCUUUUAUUUCUUGUUUCAUUUUCAGCUGCUCAAGGCAAGAGCUAAAGUCAAUUUACUGUACAUACAGAUUACCUGCUGCUUCAGGGUAACCGAUGGGAAAGGUCUCGGGCUGUGAUGAAAGGAGAAGGUAAAGAGGCUCAGCAGCUACAGCAGCUUGCUCCAGGUCAGAGAGCACACACGGUGCUGGCAGUGACACCUCUGCCACAUGCAAGGCCUACAGUGAACACUGCAUGAGGCUUUCUGUGCACUCUGGCAGACCCUGGGACUCAGUCCUCACUCCUCACAUGAGCAAAGCCUGGCUCCCUCCAGCUCUGAGCUGGAACUAUUGGGUUUGAACCUCCCACACCUGAAGGCACAAUCCUGCCUUGUGGGCUCAGUUGGGAUGAGCCCUCACAUUUCUCCAGUGGUUCCACAUUCGUCCAAAGAAUUCCUCACCCUUUUUCCUCAGAGCAGCAACCACAAUCGCAAGCAUUCAACCCACCCCCAGCUAACAACGCAAACCUCUGUAGCAACCUUACCACAAACUAAUACUACAGCAAUAAGAUCCUAAUUACUCCCAUCACAUAUCCAGUUUGGGUGAGGCACAGAAGCCAGAGUGAUGAUUUGGAUUCAUGUGAGCAUCAGGCGCACCAGCACCCCAUCCAUGCAAAGCAUCAGAGGGACAGGAGGAGGACGAAGCAGCACCUCGCUCAGUUCCUAAUGCUCCAGCUUUAUCCCCCUGCUCCUCCUGCCUUCCCCUGCAUUGCACAGCCCUCACUCCUCGCCUGCUCCCUUCUCCUUGCUGCCACUGCUGCCAGCUGCGAGAGCGGCACGGCUUUGUGAGAUGCUGCAGUGCCAUCUUCAGACAGGAGGGCAGCAGCCACAACCGUGGGAUGUUUUUGCCGUACAAAUAAGGAGGAUUUAAAAACAAACAAUGGAAAUCUGCCCACGUCCAGAUCUGUGCAGAGGGAACGUGUGUCCGGAUGCUGGGGAAACAUUUGCAGUUGGCAUGGCAGGGAUGAUGGGAUCCAACUGCAUUAAACAGCGCAGGGGUUCCACGAGAAGGAAUUCUCUCUCUCCCCUCUAUGAUUCAGCACGCUUAGGUGGGAUAUCGCAAUGCACGCUGUAACACGUUCCUCCUCUUGCACCCUCCCAGCAAGCUGCAGGACAUCAUUUUAUCCCAAUGCCUUCUUCUGCAGCAGCAAAACAACUGGGCUGGAGACCUCACUUCCCAACCAUGCAUCACAUCCCCAUCACCCUGUGCCAGCCCCUGCCGCCUCCUGACUCGAGCUUCAGCACUUUGGGGGGAAAUCGGUGAAGUGAUGAGGCACAAAAGUGUCAGAGAAGUGGGGGGUGGGCUCAGGUCUGCGCCCCUCCUUUUUAACUCAGUGCCACAUCAGUAGCCACCAACAGCACCGGUGGAUGGAGCCCACUGGUAAAUGAUACAUGUGGCUUUGCAGAGCACUAAUCGGAUGGAGGUUGGUGCUAAGAGACUUUCAGACUCUGAAAGCCAGGGCCUUUAACACAUUUUUUUUCCUCUCAGCACUGGUUGUUUGGGCCAAUUUUUGGUAAUUUCAGUAAUUUUGGCCUGCUUACAGACAUCACUGCUGCUGAAAACCAGUUCUGAGCCCAGGAGACUGCAGCACUACGGAGCUUCAGGGAAGGAAAGCAAACGGCCGCAGGAUCUCCCUGGAUGCUGCCUUAUCCCCACGGGCUCUGACCCUCCCGAGCUGCAAAACACAUCUGAAGGAGGGGAUUGGGUGAGCUCAGGAGUGGAUUUCUGCAGCAACUCCGUGAAGCUGAGAGCUUUUCUAGCAACACACAUUCUGGAUCCUCUCAGAAAGGUAUUCACCUCACCUGAAUUUGGAUGGUUUGAAGUUUAAUUUGUCAGACUGAGCUAGUUAACGUGCUUCUCUCUGUAGUUAAUGGAGAGAAAUAAGAGCUGCUAGAGGGCAAUUCCUCUGACCCGUUGUUAACACUUGUCUCAGCAUGAGAGAAAUAGCCCUCUGGAGAGGCUGCCUUCUGCACUGACUGUAAAGAGACAAAGAUGAGCAGCUCAAGCUCUCAAGCCCCAUUUUUUGACAAAUCCCAUAUGAAGUGCAGGUGGGACUGCCCAGCCAGCAGCACCCCCUGCUCACCUCAACACAACUCAAAGCCUCUCACCAGCUUAAAGACCCGGACUUGUCCUUCGAAAGCUCCAUGCUGAAGAGUUGCUAUUAUUUUUCACGUAGACUUCACUGGAUUUGAUUCCCCGAAGAGCAUCUGGGGAGCACUGGGGGAACAGAGAAGGGCUACAGCUCUGUGCUCAUCCCUACUGCUCCGGGGUGAAGGUGUGAGGAGCCCCAGCCCUGAGCAGAGCAUAUGGUGGGCACAACCCAACCUGUCCCCACCAGCGGCCCCAGCCCAAGGGAUGC
This 5449-nucleotide long non-coding RNA is filed under the name Gallus gallus (chicken). RNAcentral's name for it is "lncRNA (ENSGALG00010018178.1)". Lineage: Eukaryota; Metazoa; Chordata; Aves; Galliformes; Phasianidae. The record is from RNAcentral.